GUGAGGAAUAUUGGGCAAUGGGCGAAAGCCUGACCCAGCAACGCCGCGUGAAGGAAGAAGGUCUUCGGAUCGUAAACUUCUAUCCUUGGUGAAGAUAAUGACGGUAGCCGAGAAGGAAGCCCCGGCUAACUACGUGCCAGCAGCCGCGGUAAUACGUAGGGGGCAAGCGUUGUCCGGAAUGAUUGGGCGUAAAGGGCGCGUAGGCGGCCUGGUAAGUCUGGAGUGAAAGUCCUGCUUUUAAGGUGGGAAUUGCUUUGGAUACUGUCGGGCUUGAGUGCAGGAGAGGUAAGUGGAAUUCCCGGUGUAGCGGUGAAAUGCGUAGAGAUCGGGAGGAACACCAGUGGCGAAGGCGACUUACUGGACUGUAACUGACGCUGAGGCGCGAAAGUGUGGGGAGCAAACAGGAUUAGAAACCCGAGUAGUCC
RNAcentral lists this ribosomal RNA (425 nucleotides) under uncultured bacterium. Its description in RNAcentral is "partial 16S ribosomal RNA". It matches the Rfam family "Bacterial small subunit ribosomal RNA", at positions 354 to 796 of the family's 1533-position model. The record is from RNAcentral.